GUUGGGUGUGGUGGUGCACACCUGUAAUCCCAGUUACUUGGAAGGCUAAGGCAGAAGGAUCGCCAAGUUCAAGGCCAGUCUGGACAACUUAGAGAGACCCUGUCUUAC
This 108-nucleotide small RNA is filed under the name Marmota monax (woodchuck). Lineage: Eukaryota; Metazoa; Chordata; Mammalia; Rodentia; Sciuridae. The record is from RNAcentral.